AAGUACCCGUGGGUCGACAUAUUCAUUGACAGGAAUCACAACGAUGAAUAAAUUGGUGCGCAUCAGAAAACACUGUAGGCCACUAAUAUCUGGCCAUUAAAGCCAUGCGAGCAGUAUUGUCUCCCGCAAAAUGUCCACCACAACUAUCCAAAUGACAUCCUUCCAAAAUUGUACGAACUUCACUUUGAAAGAUGCAACGGCGUAAAAUUCCAUCCCGCCCUUGUUUGUACAAAGCAUCUCCAAUCAUAGUAUACGGCGCACUUUUUAAAAUC
This 272-nucleotide long non-coding RNA is filed under the name Physcomitrium patens. RNAcentral's name for it is "long non-coding RNA (PPAT_LNC008245)". The record is from RNAcentral. Lineage: Eukaryota; Viridiplantae; Streptophyta; Bryopsida; Funariales; Funariaceae.